UGGAAAGCUGCUGAAAAUUAGGUCACCCCAAAGCCUUCUCUUUUCCAGGCUCAACAAUCCCAAUUCUCUCAACGUUUCCUCAUGGGAGAAUUGCUCCAUCCUUUUGAUCAACUCGGUGUCCUCCUCUGGACUCGCUCCAGAGGUGAAGAAACAUCUGCUGUGUCACAGCGCCGUGGGGAGAGAGACGAUAAAUACACAGAUAAUGCAAGUGCUGUUCAUCUGCGUGCGUUCAUUUCUCCCACUGUGCAAAUGCCUUCCACAGAAAUCCCUUUCCCUGGGCGAAGUCUCAGAGUGCCUGCGGGAUCAGUGACCUGUGCAGAAGCAGCUGCCAGAACACAGCUCCUGGGGCUGAUCCCCAGCUCUACACGCACCCCUUGGCAGCACAGGCAGAAGAACACCAGCAAGGUUCUCCUUAAUGCUCCAGAUGGGUUUGCCUUCCAAGAGGCCACUGAAAGUGGGAUCUGUCCAAAUGCUCAGCUCCUGCACCAGUCUCCACCAAAAGAAAAAAAUGCAACCAGCAUUCAGUGAGUAGAAGCAGUGCCUGGGCACUUCUGCAGUGCCUGCCCUGUCUGCCCAUCCCUGCUUCUCAUUUGGUUUCAGCCUCAUGCUGAGGGGUCUAAAGGAACAUUUCUGCUUUGCCGUCAUGCUCAAAUAAGAAGUGCACCUCAAAUAAGAAAUGCAUCUCUGCCUCCAAGGGGGAGACAUUGAUAGUUACCUUCUUGCAGCUGCUGGGACAAUUCUGUGUAUUUGUCCAUAAAAAGGGAGAAGGCUGCAGAGGGGACCUGCUUUUAGCACAUAUUGAGGAAAGUACUGUGUGCUGGCAGCAGGAGGUGGCACUGGAAAACCACAGACGAACAAACACGUGAGGAAAAAAGAUCCCAGUCAGGGGCACAGGGCACAGUAUGUGUGCUCAUCCUUCAUUACUUUGAUGCCCCUGUCCCUGGUGCCUCCAUAUCAGAAGCCUGAUGAUGUACUGGCCACUUCAAGAGAGUUUUACACAAAAUUAAUUCAAAAGUGCCUGGCAAAAAAACAGUACACCAGGCACAUGGGUUCUUUCCUUUCCUUUCUUGGGUUGCCUUCCCUGCAGGGAAGGCUUUUCUCUAUAGAAAGACUUUUGAAAAGAUGGCUUAAAAAUAGUUUAGCUUAUCUUUUUCAGAAAAGUCAUGAGACUGCCUUCGAUUUCAUGGGUUAGCUCAAACCCUGAGGAAAGAAAAUAGGAUCAAUUCCCAAUGAGAAUGCAAAACACAACAAAUGACCCAUCUCUCAGAGGCAGAACUGAAUUUGGAAUGAAAGGGUUAAAGGGGCAAACAGAAAUCCAAGCCUACACAUCAGCCUGGCUAAAGAUCCUCUUCAGUUUUUAAACUAUUUUGAUUUAAUGUUUCUGGGUUGUCAAAAUACCUGUAGACCUCCAGAGCUCCCAUGGAGAAAAUAACUUAAUUUCAAAUGUCAUUAAAAACAAAAAAAAAGAGCAACACUAAAAAUAGAAGUACACCAGCAGUUGCAACAACAUUUUUAGGCAGACUUUAUC
RNAcentral lists this long non-coding RNA (1528 nucleotides) under Zonotrichia albicollis (white-throated sparrow). RNAcentral describes it as "lncRNA (ENSZALG00000011224.1)". The record is from RNAcentral. Lineage: Eukaryota; Metazoa; Chordata; Aves; Passeriformes; Passerellidae.